AUAACCUUUAUUAAGUUGGAGACACCAUUAAUUACUCAAUUUUUUCUUUUAAUCACACUUUACAUAUACACGUGUUCACAAGGAUCAUCAUAUAUAUCUUAUGAUGUGUAUAAUACAUGUGUGUGAUGUGGGUAUUAGAUAUGACUAUAGUUAUUAUUAGGCAGUAGACUUAAAAUGCAUAGAUCGUAUGUAAAUAGUGUUAUCAUUCAUAGCAUGCAUGCUACUCGACAUAUUUUAUGUAAUGAAGUGAAAUUAUAUGUAAAUUGUAU
RNAcentral lists this long non-coding RNA (269 nucleotides) under Carica papaya (papaya). RNAcentral describes it as "long non-coding RNA (CPAP_LNC016617)". Lineage: Eukaryota; Viridiplantae; Streptophyta; Magnoliopsida; Brassicales; Caricaceae. The record is from RNAcentral.